Potamilus streckersoni is the source of this 72-nucleotide non-coding RNA. Lineage: Eukaryota; Metazoa; Mollusca; Bivalvia; Unionida; Unionidae. The record is from the annotation of a GenBank genome assembly.
GCUCCGGUGUCCUAGUGGUUAGAGCGUCCGCCUCGGAUGCGGAAGUCACGGGUUUGAAUCCCGGCUGAGUCA